This is a long non-coding RNA of Neofelis nebulosa (Clouded leopard), 827 nucleotides long. RefSeq lists it as uncharacterized. The record is from RefSeq and is a predicted model, not a curated record. Lineage: Eukaryota; Metazoa; Chordata; Mammalia; Carnivora; Felidae. The transcript has 3 exons.
GUUUGGCUCUCUGUUCGAAACUUACAUUAGCACCGUUGUCUUUCAGAGAGAAAACCAUCCUCCCUUUUCCAAUUCUCUGGCUUCUCUCUGGCUGUUUCCGCCGUGAAAACACUGUCUGAGUCAGAAAGGGAAUGACCGUGUGGCAUUGCCAUGCAGAACUGCCUUCAGGAACAUCCACGGGGUCUCCCGACCUUCCCUGUCUUUGGAAGCUCGAAGCUGCCCCUGUCCCUGGGUGUUUGUGGGCUGUGUGUGGAAAAUGCCUGCCUUGUGUGCCUUUCCUCUUCCCGCUGACAUUGCCCUGCCCACCGAGCCCUGCCCAGGGAGCCCGUGAACCAGGACGUGAUUUCUGAAACGCCUUCCUAAGCAUCCCCAUUCAUCGGCUCAUUGAUUUUCUUCCUGCAGGCUUUGCAGGUAUUUGCUGCAGGUAAGGAAGGAGUAAGGAAGAACUGGACAUGAUGAAGAGGCUCCCAUCUGAUGGGAAGACAGAAUGAAAAGUACCCCGGCCUCCAGAAGCUGAGGAUCCUAAAGAGAAAAGCAAACAGAGCCUCCACGCCCUGCAAAUGACAGAUGUUUAACUCCUCUGAGGCUUUGUUCUUCACCUUAAUCACAGCUACACGAAGAAAAACACCAGCAAAGGCAUCAUCAGUGAGAUGAACGCAUUGACCCUCUAGAAUAUUUAUAAUUACACAGCCAUGUUUGGAAGCGUGUGCUUCACAUCAGCUCUGGGUGCCAGAACAGCCUGACGGAUCGUGAUGUUCCAGCUGUUCGAAAGAUACCACUUUCCAGCAUCAGCUGUAAGUGUGCCUUCCAAGUCCAACCUAUUUCAG